Molecule: ribosomal RNA, 453 nt
Filed under: uncultured bacterium
Lineage: Bacteria
Description: bacterial SSU rRNA
Rfam family: Bacterial small subunit ribosomal RNA
Source: RNAcentral
UACGGGAGGCAGCAGUGGGGAAUAUUGCACAAUGGGCGCAAGCCUGAUGCAGCCAUGCCGCGUGUAUGAAAAAGGCCUUCGGGUUGUAAAGUACUUUCAGUCGUGAGGAAGGUGUUAAGGUUAAUAACCUUAGCAAUUGACGUUAGCGACAGAAGAAGCACCGGCUAACUCCGUGCCAGCAGCCGCGGUAAUACGGAGGGUGCGAGCGUUAAUCGGAAUUACUGGGCGUAAAGGGCACGCAGGCGGUUAAUUAAGUUGGAUGUAAAAUCCCCGGGCUUAACCUGGGAAUGGCAUUCAAGACUGGUUAGCUAGAGUCUUGUAGAGGGGGUAGAAUUCCAUGUGUAGCGGUGAAAUGCGUAGAGAUGUGGAGGAAUACCGGUGGCGAAGGCGGCCCCUGGACAAAGACUGACGCUCAUGUGCGAAAGCGUGGGGAGCAAACAGGGAUUAGAUACC